AGUGAACGCUGGCGGUAGGCCUAACACAUGCAAGUCGAACGGCAGCACAGUAAGAGCUUGCUCUUACGGGUGGCGAGUGGCGGACGGGUGCGGAAUACAUCGGAAUCUACUUUUUCGUGGGGGAUAACGUAGGGAAACUUACGCUAAUACCGCAUACGACCUACGGGUGAAAGCAGGGGAUCUUCGGACCUUGCGCGAUUGAAGGAGCCGAUGUCGGAUUAGCUAGUUGGCGGGGUAAAGGCCCACCAAGGCGACGAUCCGUAGCUGGUCUGAGAGGAUGAUCAGCCACACUGGAACUGAGACACGGUCCAGACUCCUACGGGAGGCAGCAGUGGGGAAUAUUGGACAAUGGGCGAAAGCCUGAUCCAGCCAUACCGCGUGGGUGAAGAAGGUCUUCGGGUUGUAAAGCCCUUUUGUUGGGAAAGAAAAGCAGCAGGUUAAUACCCUGCUGUUCUGACGUUACCAAAAGAAUAAGCACCGGCUAACUUCGUG
RNAcentral lists this ribosomal RNA (492 nucleotides) under uncultured bacterium. Its description in RNAcentral is "partial 16S ribosomal RNA". It matches the Rfam family "Bacterial small subunit ribosomal RNA", at positions 29 to 507 of the family's 1533-position model. The record is from RNAcentral.